This 73-nucleotide transfer RNA is filed under the name Insectozyma bohioensis. RNAcentral's name for it is "Candida bohioensis tRNA-Gln". The record is from RNAcentral. Lineage: Eukaryota; Fungi; Ascomycota; Pichiomycetes; Serinales; Debaryomycetaceae.
UGAAUCGUUGACUAAUCGGUAAGUCCCAUGUAUUUGGUACAUGUCUAUAUACGUUCGAAUCGUAUCGAUUCAG